Molecule: long non-coding RNA, 2893 nt
Filed under: Homo sapiens (human)
Lineage: Eukaryota; Metazoa; Chordata; Mammalia; Primates; Hominidae
Description: HSALNT0398135
Source: RNAcentral
GAGUAGAUCGUCUCCACAGAAAUCAGCGGAGGCUUCCACAGUCCCUGGUUGGAAUGGAACCGGCGGUGAGGAUGAGAGGCGCUGAAGACCAGAAGACCCAGGGCGUGAACGGGGCGUGUCAUCCCUGGAGUUUCAGUAGAAUUUCAGGCCUGUCUGCUUGAGCAGCAGAGGAGGAGUUUCUGUGUGCCUGUGAGAGACUGUGUGUGUGUGUGUGUGUGUGUGUGUGUGUGAGAUGAAUGAACAGGGUUGUGUACGUGUGUGUGCGUUAGACAAAUGAACAGUGUUGUGUACCUGUGUGAAUUGUCACUGUGACUCCAGGCUCUAGGCUCUGCAGAUUCCUCAGCCCUAUCGCCUCACAGACACUUGGGAUGUGCAGCAGGUAAAAGAGAGAAGCCAGAUUCAUGGAGGCGUGAAGGAUCCCAGCAAGAAAACACAGACUUGAUCUUGAGACGAGAUUUUUGAAAUUGGUUGCGGCCUCAAGGCAGGCUCUGAGAAGACUCGAUAAAGAGUUCUCAGGAAUAGGCAUCCCUCCUGGAUAUUUCCCCCUUGGAAGCGCCGAGGAGCCAGCUCUAUGUUUGUAACCAUAGCAUUUCUAAAGCUCCAGCCCCAGGAACCUGCUGUGAAUUAGAGACAGAUUCCACCCUAGGCAUCACUGAUCUUGGCCUCUCUUGUAUUGGGAAGGUCAACACUGUUCCAGUUUCUCUCCUACUCCCAUCUGGUUGUGCUCGGUGAAGUAGUGCUACCCUUCUGUUAAAAAAAAAAAAAAAAAAAAGAUCCUGAAAGAGGAAAGAAUUUUUGCUACACAUCUGAAAGCUAAAGUCCAGGUGAGUUUAUAUUUCCUCAUUACUUGUAAGAUGCUCUUUAAUUUUAAAGACAUGAGACCCUUUCUUCUCUUUGGAAAUGUCCUGCCUAACAGUGACGUAUCUGUGAAUAUGCCAUUACAGCCUCCUUUCAAGGCCCUUAAGCCCUUCUCUUCAUAAUUUAUUUAACCUUUUGCCUACUGCGAGCUAUUAUGUUUCUAAUUGUUGACUAAAAACUAGUCUAUAAUGAACACCAUUUUGCAGAGAUCUUUGCUUCCUUUUAUAGCCAUUCCCUGAGGAUAAACCCUAGUUUCAAAAUUUGAGUCAAAUAUCAGAUAUUUACCAUGUGCUUGUACUUGUUAGGAUACAAUGACAAAAAGAUAUAGUUGCUAUCCUCAAAUGACUUGGUAUCCAGUAAGGAAAAUGAAAUCGGAAUAGGGAUAAGAAAGAUAGUUGAUGUGAAAGGCCACUAGAGAAAUUCAGAUGACCUGUCUUGGGAGUUCACAGGGAAGAGGCAUCUUUCUGGCUAUAGCAGCAUUGUCAGGAUAUGAUCGAACUGUGAGAACUCAGUGAAAGAAAAUGGAUCUUAUACCUUAGAGUUUUUAUUCUAAUGAUGUUAAAUGCAAAGUGACAUUAAAUGGAACACGAUGUCUUAACAGCUGCUUGUAGGACACUGUGAUUAGGAGGAUAGAUUCAGAAGUAAAAUAAACCCAUCUAUCAGGAAUGUAUAAUAGGAAGCAGCUUUGAGACUACCAGUAAUGCAUACGAAAUAUCAGAGUCUCCGAUUUACAUUGACAUACAUUUCUACAGGCAAACGAAUCAUAGGGUGGGUUCAGGUAAUGGGAACUGAUGAAAAUAAAGUAAAAGCUUUCAAUAAAACACAGCAGCAGUUUUUAGAGCAGCGCUGGUUCUCAAAUGUAGGAUGCAUCAGAAUCACCUGCAGGGCUUGUUCAAACAGUUUGCUGGGCCCCAGCCCCAGAGUUUCUAAUUCGGUAGGUCUGAGGUAGAGCAGAGAAUCUGCAUUGGUAACAAGUUCCCAGGGACUAUAUUUAGAGGACCUUUGUUCUAGAGUAUACUAAGUUUUCUCCUCCAGAUCAAAAGAUAUUUAAAAGGUAAGGCAGGGAGGAUUUUUUCCCACUUGUUCAGAGAAAAGAUUGCUCUGUUAAAAAUUCAAAAAUCUAUCUAACUGUGUCUCAAGACAAAAAGAUAUAGUUGCUAUCCUCAAAUGACUUGGUAUCCCAGUAAGGAAGAAUAAAUCAAAAUAGGAAUAAGUAAGAUAGUUGCCUUUUUAAAAAAAGUUUUAAUUUUAUGAAAUAUACUUUUAGGAAUAGGCAGAAACCCAGGACUAUAAAACAAAUAUUAAGUAAGUUAAUAUAUGGGUUUAUGUUUUCCAUACUUUUUUCAAUUUAUUGAUGUCUGUCCGUUUUUCUCUAUAUAUUGAUAAAUACAUAUAUUUUAUAAAUGUAAUCAUAUUUACAUUUGCAUAAUUGUAUACAUUUGUAACUCAAUUCUUUUUUUUUUUUUUUUUUUUUUUAGACGGAGUCUCGCUCCGUCACCAGGCUGGUGUGCAGUGGCGCGAUCUCGGCUCACUGCAACCUCCGCUUCCCAGGUUCGAGCAAUUCUCCUGCCUCAGCCUCCCGAGUAGCUGGGAUUACAGGCCCAUGCCACCACGCCCAGCUAAUUUUUCUAUUUUUAGUAGAGACGAGGUUUCACCAUGUUGGUCAGGCUGGUCUCGAUCUCAUGACCUCAUGGAUCCACCCGCCUCAGCCUCCCAAAGUGCUGGGAUUACAGGCAUGAGCCACUGUGCCCGGCCCGUAACCCAAUUCUUAAACAGCUUUAUUAACAUAUAAUUCACAUGCCACAAAAUUCAGUCAUUUAAAGUAUACAGUUUAAUGUAUUUAAUAUAUUCACAGAGUUGUGCAACCAUCACCACUGUCAACAUGAGAAAAUUUCCAUAACCUCAAAAAGAAAUUCCAUACCCACUAGCACUCACUCUGCAUUUUCCCCAGCCAUAGACAACCAUUUAUCUACUUUCUGUCUCUGAAUUCACCUCUUCUGGACAUUUCAUAUGAAUAGAGUUAUAUAAUAAGUGA